Molecule: ribosomal RNA, 253 nt
Filed under: uncultured bacterium
Lineage: Bacteria
Description: partial 16S ribosomal RNA
Rfam family: Bacterial small subunit ribosomal RNA
Source: RNAcentral
UACGUAGGGAGCAAGCGUUGUCCGGAAUCAUUGGGCGUAAAGCGCGCGUAGGUGGCUUCGUAAGUCCGUUGUGAAAGUCAAAGGCUCAACCUUUGAAAGCCGAUGGAUACUGUGAAGCUAGAGUACGGAAGAGGCGAGUGGAAUUCCUGGUGUAGCGGUGGAAUGCGCAGAUAUCAGGAAGAACACCAAUGGCGAAAGCAGCUUUCUGGGACGGUACUGACGCUGAGACGCGAAAGCGUGGGGAGCGAACAGG